RNAcentral lists this non-coding RNA (24 nucleotides) under Arabidopsis thaliana (thale cress). The record is from RNAcentral. Lineage: Eukaryota; Viridiplantae; Streptophyta; Magnoliopsida; Brassicales; Brassicaceae.
CAAAACUCGUAAUCUCAUAGGUCU